Molecule: ribosomal RNA, 466 nt
Filed under: uncultured bacterium
Lineage: Bacteria
Description: partial 16S ribosomal RNA
Rfam family: Bacterial small subunit ribosomal RNA
Source: RNAcentral
AUGCCAGACUCUACGGGAGGCAGCAGUGAGGAAUAUUGGUCAAUGGGCGGGAGCCUGAACCAGCCAAGUCGCGUGAGGGACGACGGUCCUAUGGAUUGUAAACCUCUUUUGUCGGGGAACAAAGGCGCCCACGGGUGGGCGGAUGAGUGUACCCGAAGAAAAAGCAUCGGCUAACUACGUGCCAGCAGCCGCGGUAAUACGGAGGGAGCAAGCGUUGUCCGGAAUUACUGGGCGUAAAGGGCGCGUAGGUGGGCGCUUAAGUCAGGUGUGAAAACUCCGGGCUCAACCUGGAGACUGCUCUUGAAACUGGGUGUCUUGAGGGCAGGAGAGGAAAGUGGAAUUCCUGGUGUAGCGGUGAAAUGCGUAGAUAUUAGGAGGAACACCAGUGGCGAAGGCGACUUUCUGGACUGUACCUGACGCUGAGGCGCGAAAGCGUGGGUAGCGAACGGGAUUAGAUACCCCAGUA